Molecule: long non-coding RNA, 900 nt
Organism: Phragmites australis (common reed)
Lineage: Eukaryota; Viridiplantae; Streptophyta; Magnoliopsida; Poales; Poaceae
Exons: 2
Source: RefSeq, a predicted model, not a curated record
CUCCCCGCUCUCCCCGGCGCGCGCCCGCCAUGGGCGCUGCCGCGCGCCCCUCGUUAGCCGAAGCCGAGAGGCCGCCGGAGAUAGAGACGUCUCUGGGGGAGAAGGAAUCUGUGGUUUCCACCUCUGUGCCGUUCUCUCUAGGUCCAGCGGACGCGGAACCCCCUCGCGGCGCACGAUGGAUGCCCGAGACUAUAGCUCUGGUCACGACCGGCGACUGCUGCCGCUGGCAAGCUGGGAGCGGCAUGCUGGAGAGCGUCGGCGUCGCCAUGGCGCAUGUCCUAAAUGUUUCAAUUGGAGGAUUCCACCGGCGGAGGACGAGCUGAAUGGGCAGAGCAUUACUCUGGACGGCGGCGUGUGCUGUUCAGGUGGCGCACAAUUCAGAUGAGAAAAGAGAAUAAUAUGGGGAGAAAUGAUUUUUUUGUGCAUGCUAGUGGCUAUCUAGGCAUCUGCAAGGUGGAGCUGCAGGCACCACCACCAAUUAUCUUCAGUAACUUGUACAUUAAUCCUAUCUUAAGAGAGAAAAAAGUAUCACCAAAGUAAACAGGAAAGUGGCAGAUGAAAUGGGAUGCUUGUUGUUUUACUAAUUCAUAUGGAAAGUUGUGAAGCUAGUUGUAGGACAUCGAACUUUUAUUUGCACAAUAUAAGCCCUUUGUAACUAAAGAAAUGUACACUAUAAAAGUUCUCUCUUUUCUUUCUUUCUUUAUUCCAUCUUGAACAGAACACAAAUAUACAUCAGACAAAAUAGAUACAGCAAUGACAGAGAACGAAGAAGUUUACACGCUACAAGAUCUGCACAUUCUUUUUGAAGGCACGUAAUCAUGUUAGAUGUGGACUAGUUACAGGUACACUUGCCCUUCUGUGUAUAACAUCAUAAUUCAUUAAGUAUAAUGAGACGGCAAA